RNAcentral lists this small nucleolar RNA (109 nucleotides) under Sorghum bicolor (sorghum). RNAcentral describes it as "Plant small nucleolar RNA R71". It matches the Rfam family "Plant small nucleolar RNA R71". Rfam says of the family: R71 is a member of the C/D box family of snoRNAs containing the C (UGAUGA) and D (CUGA) box motifs. Multiple nearly identical copies of this snoRNA have been identified in Arabidopsis, and it is thought to function as a 2'-O-ribose methylation guide for 18S ribosomal RNA. Lineage: Eukaryota; Viridiplantae; Streptophyta; Magnoliopsida; Poales; Poaceae. The record is from Rfam by way of RNAcentral.
AUCCCAUGAUGACGACACUCGAGUAUGUAGUCAUGAAAGCACUCCCAGGCUUCUAGGACUCUCUCAUCAUGUUGUUGCUGAAAACUUGAUAUCUUCCCUUAAAGAGCAU